GCUGGGACCAGUUGGGACCAGCUGUGGGCAAAAGACGUGUUUUGUCCACUGUUGCAGUCUUCCUAGAGCAAAGUGGAGGUUUCUGUCUGCUUUAGGAGAGCAAACUAAAGCAGAUCGUUCCCCUCCACACACG
Molecule: small nucleolar RNA, 133 nt
Filed under: Dryobates pubescens (Downy woodpecker)
Lineage: Eukaryota; Metazoa; Chordata; Aves; Piciformes; Picidae
Description: Picoides pubescens (downy woodpecker) Small Cajal body specific RNA 3
Rfam family: Small Cajal body specific RNA 3
About the family: scaRNAs are a specific class of small nuclear RNAs which localise to the Cajal bodies and guide the modification of RNA polymerase II transcribed spliceosomal RNAs U1, U2, U4, U5 and U12.
Source: Rfam by way of RNAcentral